RNAcentral lists this ribosomal RNA (253 nucleotides) under uncultured bacterium. RNAcentral's name for it is "partial 16S ribosomal RNA". It matches the Rfam family "Bacterial small subunit ribosomal RNA", at positions 524 to 776 of the family's 1533-position model. The record is from RNAcentral.
UACGUAGGGUGCGAGCGUUAAUCGGAAUUAUUGGGCGUAAAGGGUGCGUAGGUGGUUAGAUAAGUUAGAUGUGAAAGUCCUAGGCUCAACCUAGGGAUUGCAUUUAAUACUAUUUAGCUAGAGUACUGUAGAGGAAAGUGGAAUUUCCGGUGUAGCGGUGAAAUGCGUAGAUAUCGGAAGGAAUAUCAGUGGCGAAGGCGGCUUUCUGGACAGAUACUGACACUGAGGCACGAAAGCCUGGGGAGCAAACAGG